AACGUAGGGGGCCAGCGUUGCUCGGAAUUACUGGGCGUAAAGGGUCCGUAGGCGGUGUGGCAAGUCGGUAGUGAAAUCUCUGGGCUUAACUCAGAGGCUGCUGCCGAAACUGCUGUGCUCGAGUGCGAGAGAGGCGAGUGGAAUUGCAGGUGUAGCGGUGAAAUGCGUAGAUAUCUGCAGGAACAUCCGAGGCGAAAGCGGCUCGCUGGAUCGCAACUGACGCUGAGGGACGAAAGCUAGGGGAGCAAACAGG
Molecule: ribosomal RNA, 253 nt
Filed under: uncultured bacterium
Lineage: Bacteria
Description: partial 16S ribosomal RNA
Rfam family: Bacterial small subunit ribosomal RNA
Source: RNAcentral